CAGAGAACAUGCCCUUUAGGGUAUAUCUCCCACCCUUUGUUUACAAUACCUUUGUUGCUUUGGCGGGCCUGUCUCUUGGACUGCUGGCUUCAGCUGGCUCGUGCCCGCCAGAGAACCCCAACACUCUUGUAUUUAUGCCGUCUGAGUACUAUUUAAUAGUUA
Molecule: unclassified non-coding RNA, 162 nt
Filed under: uncultured Helotiales
Lineage: Eukaryota; Fungi; Ascomycota; Leotiomycetes; Helotiales
Description: sequence contains ITS1
Source: RNAcentral